Molecule: long non-coding RNA, 1216 nt
Organism: Galeopterus variegatus (Sunda flying lemur)
Lineage: Eukaryota; Metazoa; Chordata; Mammalia; Dermoptera; Cynocephalidae
Exons: 4
Source: RefSeq, a predicted model, not a curated record
AAAGGGACCUUUCAGCACCAGGCAUCCGGACAGUUCCAGGACUGCUCAGCCUUUGGAGGGAAGCCAUCCGCAGGAUGACUGGGGAAGGAAGGCCCAGCUGGAUCCAGAACUUUCCUGGUUCUCUCAUGGCUGGCUGAGGGCUCUGUUCAAGGGGUUCCUUCUGGCACCUUGGUGGAAGCAAGUAGAGUUGAGAACUAGUUAGACUCACUGGCAACAGCGCCCCCUGCAGGCGGCGGCAGACACGCCUGCGCCACGGCCAGCCGCGCCCCUCCGCGCCAGACACGCCCGAGAGCCCGAAGGUUGCCCAGCGCUCCACCUUCAGCCCGGCCUCGACCUCCCCUACGGCCCUGGUCGCUGCGGUUUUGGGUCAGAUGUAUCCCCGGGAACUGUGAAAAGAAGGGGUCAGAGAGGUCACCUCAUAUGUUCAGCAAGAAAUGAACUUUUAAGCUCAUCGCUGGCUCACUCUGCUUGCCUGUGUGUCACUCGUAUGAAGACUCCACUUCCCUUUGGGCCUCAGUUUGCUCUUCUGCAAGAUGAGAGUCUUGGACUGGAAGGCUGUGGACAUUCUUUCCCUAGCUGAUGUUCUUUGAUUUUAGGAAGUAUUGACAUCAUGUUGGGAGACCUGAGUUUGAGAACUCCAUUUGUUCCUAAUUACCUGUGACUCAGGCAUGCCGUGGCCAUGUCCCUGUAUCUCUGGGCCUAAAUUUCCCCAUUAGUAAAACGUAGAGACAAGACAAUCCCAAUCACCAGGGUGCUUUCGGGCUUGAAUAUUUGAUGACUGCAGAUGUCUGCAGAGGAAGAGACAACCUGAGGCUCAGCAAACUGAGCUCCUUUGAGAAUUUGUAAUGAACGUGAAUCUGCCAUCUUACUCAGAACAUCCCUGGCAUGAGGCUGCCAAUGAUAGACCCCCUGCGUGGGUGAAGGAGAGCAGUCACCUCCCAACAGUCAGCAGUACCUACAGGGGGAGGCUCACUCUCCUGAUGGUUGGGAGCCCACCUCCGAGGUCAGACGGUCCAAGGCUGAAUGCCAGCACUCCCCCUUCCCAGUGAGGCACCUCGGGCGAGGGAUCUCUCUGUGCCUCAAUUUCUGCCUCUGUAAAAUGGGGUGCUAAUAGUACCAGCUUCAUGUGGAAUUCCGUGAGAUGAGAAAACAUGGAAAAAACCUAACACCAUUUCUCACCUAGAAAACCCUCAAUAAACACAACUGUUACUGGUUA